RNAcentral lists this transfer RNA (26 nucleotides) under Boaedon fuliginosus (brown house snake). RNAcentral describes it as "partial tRNA-Leu". The record is from RNAcentral. Lineage: Eukaryota; Metazoa; Chordata; Lepidosauria; Squamata; Lamprophiidae.
UCUACCAAAGGAUAAUAGUUUUCCAC